RNAcentral lists this ribosomal RNA (253 nucleotides) under uncultured bacterium. Its description in RNAcentral is "partial 16S ribosomal RNA". It matches the Rfam family "Bacterial small subunit ribosomal RNA", at positions 524 to 776 of the family's 1533-position model. The record is from RNAcentral.
UACGUAGGGGGCGAGCGUUACCCGGAAUCACUGGGCGUAAAGGGUGCGUAGGCGGCCGAGUGUGUCUGGCGUUAAACUCCACGGCUCAACUGUGGGUAUGCGCUGGAAACUGCUUGGCUUGAGUGCAGCAGAGGCAGACGGAACUGCUGGUGUAGAGGUGAAAUUCGUAGAUAUCAGCAGGAACGCCGGUGGAGAAGUCGGUCUGCUGGGCUGUAACUGACGCUGAGGCACGAAAGCUAGGGGAGCAAACCGG